UAAGGAAUAUUGCUCAAUGGCCGAAAGGCUGAAGCAGCAACGCCGCGUGGAGGAUGAAAUACUUUUGUAUGUAAACUCCUGUAAGAGGGGAAAAACAUCCCGAUUUAUCGGGAUUGAUUGUACCUUCAGAGUAAGCCCCGGCUAACUACGUGCCAGCAGCCGCGGUAAUACGUAGGGGGCGAGAGUUGUCCGGAUUUACUGGGUGUAAAGGGUGCUCAGGUGGAUUUGUAAGUCAGAGGUGAAAUCCCAA
This 250-nucleotide ribosomal RNA is filed under the name uncultured bacterium. RNAcentral describes it as "partial 16S ribosomal RNA". It matches the Rfam family "Bacterial small subunit ribosomal RNA", at positions 355 to 605 of the family's 1533-position model. The record is from RNAcentral.